This 304-nucleotide ribosomal RNA is filed under the name uncultured bacterium. RNAcentral's name for it is "partial 16S ribosomal RNA". It matches the Rfam family "Bacterial small subunit ribosomal RNA", at positions 509 to 807 of the family's 1533-position model. The record is from RNAcentral.
CAGCAGUCGCCGCGGUAAUACGAAGGGGGCUAGCGUUGUUCGGAAUUACUGGGCGUAAAGCGCACGUAGGCGGACAUUUAAGUCAGGGGUGAAAUCCCGGGGCUCAACCCCGGAACUGCCUUUGAUACUGGGUGUCUAGAGUAUGGAAGAGGUGAGUGGAAUUCCGAGUGUAGAGGUGAAAUUCGUAGAUAUUCGGAGGAACACCAGUGGCGAAGGCGGCUCACUGGUCCAUUACUGACGCUGAGGUGCGAAAGCGUGGGGAGCAAACAGGAUUAGAUACCCCCGUAGUCCCUGUCUCUUAUAC